CCUACGGGGCGCAGCAGUGGGGAAUAUUGGGCAAUGGGCGCAAGCCUGACCCAGCAACGCCGCGUGAAGGAAGAAGGCUUUCGGGUUGUAAACUUCUUUUCUGGGGGACGAACAAAUGACGGUACCCCAGGAAUAAGCCACGGCUAACUACGUGCCAGCAGCCGCGGUAAUACGUAGGUGGCAAGCGUUAUCCGGAUUUAUUGGGUGUACAGGGCGUGUAGGCGGGAGCGCAAGUCUGAUGUGA
Molecule: ribosomal RNA, 244 nt
Filed under: uncultured bacterium
Lineage: Bacteria
Description: partial 16S ribosomal RNA
Rfam family: Bacterial small subunit ribosomal RNA
Source: RNAcentral